RNAcentral lists this long non-coding RNA (423 nucleotides) under Mytilus galloprovincialis (Mediterranean mussel). Lineage: Eukaryota; Metazoa; Mollusca; Bivalvia; Mytilida; Mytilidae. The record is from RNAcentral.
GACUUACAAUAGGCCAAUCACUAAACAUUCUUAGAUAUCGUUUAAAGCAAAAUGCAACGGAAUAUUAAAAGAAGAUGUGGUAUGAUAAACAAUUAGACAACCGUUUCCAAGAGACAAAAUGACACAGAAAUUAACAGUUAUAAGUCACCGUACCGCCUUCAACAAUGAAAGAGCCCAUACAGCUUACUCAACUAUAAAAGGCCCCGAAAUCACAAAUGUAAAACAAUUCAAACGAGAAAACUGUAUUAAUUUUUUUUUAAUCGAAAACAAAUAUGUAACACAGCAACAAAAAACAACCACUGAAUUACAGGCUCUUGACUUGCGACAGGCACAUACAUGCAUAAUAUGGCAAGGUUUCAGAUAGCAGCGGGAUCCCAUCCCUAACCUGGUACAGUGGUGUAACACUAAAACAUAAGAACAAAC